This is a long non-coding RNA of Mastomys coucha (southern multimammate mouse), 779 nucleotides long. RefSeq lists it as uncharacterized. NCBI's taxonomy places the organism in Eukaryota, Metazoa, Chordata, Mammalia, Rodentia, Muridae. The record is from RefSeq and is a predicted model, not a curated record. The transcript has 3 exons.
UUAUACUUUAAUAAAAUUGCUUACAGAAGGGAAGCUGAGAAAAAGCAAGGACAAAAAUGAUCACAUGAUCAAAUGACUGCAGGGAGGAAGAGAAUCAAAGGGGAAAGGAAGGUCUCUAAGGAGGGACUACAUGGGUAUGUCUUCAUGGUUCCAAAUUUUUGCUUCGUGUUUUCAAGGAAUUACAACAACUAAGGGUCAAGAAGCCAUCUGGGUACCUUUAGCUCCACUCUGAAGUGUUUGGAGUUUAGAAUACUCCAUCUGAACCAAAGAAAGAGAAAGACAAUGGUAUACCAGCACCCAGGCUCCUGUGCAGAUGCUAAACGGCUGAACUGUAACACUGGGCUUGAGGGGCAGGAUCAUUCCUUAGCAUGGAACUCUGUGGGAACAGAGGCAUCUUCUGUUGACUAUCCCAGCUGAAAAUCAGCAUCACACAUCGUAAAGUCCUGCUCUAAAAGAAACUAUGUGAAAGACCUCUAUCACCUUUGCCCUGGGAGAAACUGUCCAAAGAAAAUCCCACACAUCUCCUUCCAGAGCACAGUGUGAUAAAAGGCCAGGCCCGCUCAGAAACUUGCAACAUGACCAAGGAAGGCGAUGAUUCAUUGAAGCUUCGAAGAAAUCCAAACAUCUGUUUUUGUAGCAUACCCCCAACCCCCUGUAUCUUUAUGUAUCAUAUUUUGUUAUCUACGCAUCCCUCCUUGUAUUUAAUGUAAUGUUUCACACAGAGUGAGAAAUGAUGUUGGGUAUGUUCAGCAAAUGUAGUUGGUGUUUCGCCAUUUGUU